This 90-nucleotide transfer RNA is filed under the name Candidatus Nealsonbacteria bacterium CG10_big_fil_rev_8_21_14_0_10_36_23. RNAcentral describes it as "tRNA-Ser". It matches the Rfam family "tRNA". From Rfam's summary of the family: Transfer RNA (tRNA) molecules are approximately 80 nucleotides in length. Their secondary structure includes four short double-helical elements and three loops (D, anti-codon, and T loops). RNAcentral also lists the same sequence under 1 other name. Lineage: Bacteria; Candidatus Nealsoniibacteriota. The record is from RNAcentral.
GGAGAGGUGCUGGAGUGGUUGAACAGGCUGGUCUUGAAAACCAGUAUGCCAGCAAUGGCAUCGUGAGUUCGAAUCUCACCCUCUCCGCAA